ACAGAGGUCCCAAGCGUUGUUCGGAUUCACUGGGCGUAAAGGGUGCGCAGGUGGCGCUUCAAGUUUGAUGUGAAAGCUUCGGGCUCAACCCGGAAAUGGCAUUGAAUACUGGAGUGCUUGAGGUUUGGAGGGGGGACUGGAAUUCUCGGUGUAGCAGUGAAAUGCGUAGAGAUCGGGAGGAAGGCCGGUGGCGAAGGCGGCGCUCUGGAACAUUUCUGACGCUGAGGCUCGAAAGCGUGGGGAGCAAACAGGA
RNAcentral lists this ribosomal RNA (253 nucleotides) under uncultured prokaryote. RNAcentral describes it as "partial 16S ribosomal RNA". It matches the Rfam family "Bacterial small subunit ribosomal RNA", at positions 525 to 777 of the family's 1533-position model. The record is from RNAcentral.